This 332-nucleotide ribosomal RNA is filed under the name uncultured bacterium. RNAcentral describes it as "bacterial SSU rRNA". It matches the Rfam family "Bacterial small subunit ribosomal RNA", at positions 28 to 334 of the family's 1533-position model. The record is from RNAcentral.
GACGAACGCUGGCGGCGUGCCUAAUACAUGCAAGUCGAGCGAGCGGAACCAACAGAUUUACUUCGGUAAUGACGUUGGGAAAGCGAGCGGCGGAUGGGUGAGUAACACGUGGGGAACCUGCCCCUAAGUCUGGGAUACCAUUUGGAAACAGGUGCUAAUACCGGAUAAUAAAGCAGAUCGCAUGAUCAGCUUUUGAAAGAUGGCUUUGGCUAUCACUCUGGGAUGGACCUGCGGUGCAUUAGCUAGUUGGUAAGGUAACGGCUUACCAAGGCGAUGAUGCAUAGCCGAGUUGAGAGACUGAUCGGCCACAAUGGAACUGAGACACGGUCCAU